Molecule: ribosomal RNA, 582 nt
Filed under: uncultured bacterium
Lineage: Bacteria
Description: partial 16S ribosomal RNA
Rfam family: Bacterial small subunit ribosomal RNA
Source: RNAcentral
UGGGGAAUAUUGGACAAUGGGCGCAAGCCUGAUCCAGCAAUGCCGCGUGUGUGAAGAAGGCCUUCGGGUUGUAAAGCACUUUUAUCAGGAGCGAAACGCUGUCGGCUAAUACCCGGCGGAACUGACGGUACCUGAGGAAUAAGCACCGGCUAACUUCGUGCCAGCAGCCGCGGUAAUACGAAGGGUGCAAGCGUUAAUCGGAAUUACUGGGCGUAAAGCGUGCGUAGGCGGUUUCUUAAGUCUGCUGUGAAAUCCCCGGGCUCAACCUGGGAAUGGCAGUGGAUACUGGGAGGCUAGAGUGUGUCAGAGGGUGGUGGAAUUCCCGGUGUAGCGGUGAAAUGCGUAGAGAUCGGGAGGAACAUCAGUGGCGAAGGCGGCCACCUGGGGACAACACUGACGCUGAGGCACGAAAGCGUGGGGAGCAAACAGGAUUAGAUACCCUGGUAGUCCACGCCCUAAACGAUGCGAACUGGAUGUUGGUCUCAACUCGGAGAUCAGUGUCGAAGCUAACGCGUUAAGUUCGCCGCCUGGGGAGUACNGUCGCAAGACUGAAACUCAAAUGAAUUGACGGGGUCAUAGCUG